RNAcentral lists this ribosomal RNA (254 nucleotides) under uncultured bacterium. RNAcentral describes it as "partial 16S ribosomal RNA". It matches the Rfam family "Bacterial small subunit ribosomal RNA", at positions 524 to 776 of the family's 1533-position model. The record is from RNAcentral.
UACGUAGGGGGCAAGCGUUGUCCGGAUUUAUUGGGCGUAAAGAGCGUGUAGGCGGCCAUACAGGUCAGCUGUGAAAACUCGAGGCUCAACCUCGAGACGUCGGUUGAAACCGUAUGGCUAGAGUCCGGAAGAGGAGAGUGGAAUUCCCGGUGUAGCGGUGAAAUGCGCAGAUAUCGGGAGGAAUACCAAAGGCGAAGGCAGUGUCCUGGAGGGUUAACUGACGCUGAGGCGCGAAAGCUAGGGGAGCGAACAGG